AGUCGAACGAGAAUCUGUGGAUCGAGGAUUCGUCCAAGUGAAGCAGAGGACAGUGGCGGACGGGUGAGUAACGCGUGAGGAACCUGCCUUUCAGAGGGGGACAACAGUUGGAAACGACUGCUAAUACCGCAUGAUACAUUUGGGUGGCAUCAUCUGAAUGUCAAAGAUUUAUCGCUGAAAGAUGGCCUCGCGUCUGAUUAGCUGGUUGGUGAGGUAACGGCCCACCAAGGCGACGAUCAGUAGCCGGACUGAGAGGUUGACCGGCCACAUUGGGACUGAGAUACGGCCCAGACUCCUACGGGAGGCAGCAGUGGGGAAUAUUGGGCAAUGGGCGCAAGCCUGACCCAGCAACGCCGCGUGAAGGAAGAAGGCUUUCGGGUUGUAAACUUCUUUUAAUGGGGAAGAGCAGAAGACUGUACCCAUAGAAUAAGCCACGGCUAACUACGUGCCAGCAGCCGCGGUAAUACGUAGGUGGCAAGCGUUGUCCGGAUUUACUGGGUGUAAAGGGCGUGCAGCCGGGAAUGCAAGUCAGAUGUGAAAUCCAUGGGCUUAACCCAUGAACUGCAUUUGAAACUGUAUUUCUUGAGUACUGGAGAGGCAAUCGGAAUUCCUAGUGUAGCGGUGAAAUGCGUAGAUAUUAGGAGGAACACCAGUGGCGAAGGCGGAUUGCUGGACAGCAACUGACGGUGAGGCGCGAAAGUGUGGGGAGCAAACAGGAUUAGAUACCCUGGUAGUCCACACUGUAAACGAUGAAUACUAGGUGUGCGGGGACUGACCCCCUGCGUGCCGCAGUUAACACAAUAAGUAUUCCACCUGGGGAGUACGAUCGCAAGGUUG
Molecule: ribosomal RNA, 837 nt
Filed under: uncultured bacterium
Lineage: Bacteria
Description: bacterial SSU rRNA
Rfam family: Bacterial small subunit ribosomal RNA
Source: RNAcentral